This 100-nucleotide ribosomal RNA is filed under the name Priestia megaterium. Its description in RNAcentral is "Bacillus megaterium partial 16S ribosomal RNA". It matches the Rfam family "Bacterial small subunit ribosomal RNA", at positions 1441 to 1533 of the family's 1533-position model. Lineage: Bacteria; Bacillati; Bacillota; Bacilli; Caryophanales; Bacillaceae. The record is from RNAcentral.
GUAAGGAGCUAGCCGCCUAAGGUGGGACAGAUGAUUGGGGUGAAGUCGUAACAAGGUAGCCGUAUCGGAAGGUGCGGCUGGAUCACCUCCUUUCUAAGGA